GGUCUCGUAGCUCAGCUGGUAUAGCGUGCGCUUUAAGAAAAUGUAGACGGCGUCCAUGCGUGGGUUAGAAUCCCAUCGAGGCUA
RNAcentral lists this transfer RNA (84 nucleotides) under Echinostoma caproni. It matches the Rfam family "tRNA". From Rfam's summary of the family: Transfer RNA (tRNA) molecules are approximately 80 nucleotides in length. Their secondary structure includes four short double-helical elements and three loops (D, anti-codon, and T loops). Further hydrogen bonds mediate the characteristic L-shaped molecular structure. tRNAs have two regions of fundamental functional importance: the anti-codon, which is responsible for specific mRNA codon recognition, and the 3' end, to which the tRNAs corresponding amino acid is attached (by aminoacyl-tRNA synthetases). tRNAs cope with the degeneracy of the genetic code in two manners: having more than one tRNA (with a specific anti-codon) for a particular amino acid; and 'wobble' base-pairing, i.e. permitting non-standard base-pairing at the 3rd anti-codon position. The record is from Rfam by way of RNAcentral. Lineage: Eukaryota; Metazoa; Platyhelminthes; Trematoda; Plagiorchiida; Echinostomatidae.